This 693-nucleotide ribosomal RNA is filed under the name uncultured Bacteroidota bacterium. RNAcentral describes it as "bacterial SSU rRNA". It matches the Rfam family "Bacterial small subunit ribosomal RNA", at positions 78 to 768 of the family's 1533-position model. Lineage: Bacteria; Pseudomonadati; Bacteroidota. The record is from RNAcentral.
CUUCCGAUAGGCGUCGACCGGCGCACGGGUGAGUAACGCGUAUCCAACCUGCCCAUCACUUGGGGAUAACCUUGCGAAAGUAAGACUAAUACCCAAUGAUAUCUCAAGAAGACAUCUGAAUGAGAUUAAAGAUUUAUCGGUGAUGGAUGGGGAUGCGUCUGAUUAGCUUGUUGGCGGGGUAACGGCCCACCAAGGCGACGAUCAGUAGGGGCUCUGAGAGGAAGGUCCCCCACAUUGGAACUGAGACACGGUCCAAACUCCUACGGGAGGCAGCAGUGAGGAAUAUUGGUCAAUGGGCGAGAGCCUGAACCAGCCAAGUAGCGUGCAGGAUGACGGCCCUAUGGGUUGUAAACUGCUUUUAUAAGGGAAUAAAGUGAGCCUCGUGAGGCUUUUUGCAUGUACCUUAUGAAUAAGGACCGGCUAAUUCCGUGCCAGCAGCCGCGGUAAUACGGAAGGUCCGGGCGUUAUCCGGAUUUAUUGGGUUUAAAGGGAGCGUAGGCCGGAGAUUAAGCGUGUUGUGAAAUGUAGAUGCUCAACAUCUGCACUGCAGCGCGAACUGGUUUCCUUGAGUACGCACAAAGUGGGCGGAAUUCGUGGUGUAGCGGUGAAAUGCUUAGAUAUCACGAAGAACUCCGAUUGCGAAGGCAGCUCACUGGAGCGCGACUGACGCUGAAGCUCGAAAAGUGCGGGUAU